RNAcentral lists this ribosomal RNA (438 nucleotides) under uncultured bacterium. RNAcentral's name for it is "partial 16S ribosomal RNA". It matches the Rfam family "Bacterial small subunit ribosomal RNA", at positions 29 to 507 of the family's 1533-position model. The record is from RNAcentral.
AACGAACGCUGGCGGCAUGCCUAACACAUGCAAGUCGAACGAGACCUUCGGGUCUAGUGGCGCACGGGUGCGUAACGCGUGGGAACCUGCCCUUAGGUUCGGAAUAACUCCCCGAAAGGGGUGCUAAUACCGGAUAAUGUCUUCGGACCAAAGAUUUAUCGCCUGUGGAUGGGCCCGCGUUGGAUUAGCUAGUUGGUAGGGUAAAGGCCUACCAAGGCGAGGAUCCAUAGCUGGUCUGAGAGGAGGACAGGACACACUGGGAGUGAGAUACGGCCCAGACCCCUCUGGGAGGGAGCAGGGGGGAGGGUAGUAUAAUGGGGGGAGGCAUGAUGCAGCAAAGCAGCGCGGGGGAGGAAGGCAUGCGGUUGGGAUUGAAAUUUUUUUUGUGACGGGGAGAGAGUGACGGUAAGGGGAAAAGAAGCACCGGCUAACUCCGUG